AUUGAACGCUGGCGGCAGGCCUAACACAUGCAAGUCGAACGAGUGGCGGACGGGUGAGUAAUGUCUUGGAAACUGCCUGAUGGAGGGGGAUAACUACUGGAAACGGUAGCUAAUACCGCAUACCAUCAGAUGUGCCCAGAUGGGAUUCGCUUGUUGGUGGGGUAACGGCUCACCAAGUCGACGAUCCCUAGCUGGUCUGAGAGGAUGACCAGCCACACUGGAACUGAGACACGGGCCAGACUCCGACGGUAGGCAGCAGUGGGGAAUAUUGCAAAAUGGGCGAAAGCCUGAUGCAGCCAUGCCGCGUGUAUGAAGAAGGCCUUCGGGUUGUAAAGUACUUUCAGCGGGGAGGCGUUACCCGCAGAAGAAGCACCGGCUAACGCCGUGCCAGCAGCCGCGGUAAUUC
This 406-nucleotide ribosomal RNA is filed under the name uncultured bacterium. RNAcentral's name for it is "partial 16S ribosomal RNA". It matches the Rfam family "Bacterial small subunit ribosomal RNA", at positions 30 to 526 of the family's 1533-position model. The record is from RNAcentral.